Panthera uncia (snow leopard) is the source of this 247-nucleotide long non-coding RNA. RefSeq lists it as uncharacterized. The transcript has 2 exons. The record is from RefSeq and is a predicted model, not a curated record. Lineage: Eukaryota; Metazoa; Chordata; Mammalia; Carnivora; Felidae.
GGGCUUUUUGCAGAUCCAGAAGCAGGUGACACUCCCAAGAGUGACAUCAACCCUGGCUCUGCCAAAACUGCCAAGAAGCACAAGGACAACUAUUUUGAAAUUUCAAGAGGACUGUGCGCGGUGACAGACGACAGUGAUUAUGUAUCUAUUUUAAGAAGGUGUCAGAUCUGCCUGAAUGCUUUCCCUGCCCAUCCUGUCCCCUCCACUUUGUCCUUCCUACUGUCCCCUAAUACACCUUUCACCAUUC